Molecule: ribosomal RNA, 467 nt
Filed under: uncultured bacterium
Lineage: Bacteria
Description: partial 16S ribosomal RNA
Rfam family: Bacterial small subunit ribosomal RNA
Source: RNAcentral
GACGAACGCUGGCGGCGUGCUUAACACAUGCCAGUCGAACGGAAAGGCCCUGCUUUUGUGGGGUGCUCGAGUGGCGAACGGGUGAGUAACACGUGAGUAACCUGCCCUUGACUUUGGGAUAACUUCAGGAAACUGGGGCUAAUACCGGAUAGGAGCUCCUGCUGCAUGGUGGGGGUUGGAAGUUUCGGCGGUUUGGGGUGGACUUGCGGCUUAUUAGGUUGUUGGUGGGGUAGUGGCUUACCAAGGCUUUGACGGGUAGCCGGCCUGAGAGGGUGACCGGCCACAUUGGGACUGAGAUACGGCCCAGACUCCUACGGGAGGCAGCAGUGGGGAAUAUUGCACAAUGGGCGGAAGCCUGAUGCAGCAACGCCGCGUGCGGGAUGACGGCCUUCGGGUUGUAAACCGCUUUCGCCUGUGACGAAGCGUGAGUGACGGUAAUGGGUAAAGAAGCACCGGCUAACUACGUG